CAUUCAAGAGGUUAAGUCGACUUCUCAAUCCGUCAAAACAACUUAGAAAUCUUAUUUUCUGAGAAAUAGCUAACACAUCAAUAUUCUUUUCUGAUUUGAAGAUCGGACGUUCAAGUGCGGAGAAUUCUGGGAAGCUAGAAACGUCGGGCGGCGACGAACUCAUGGGAGUGGAUAUGCACCUAUUGGAUUCACAGGUUAUGUAUAAAGCUUGCGUUCAUAAUUUUUAAAAAGAAUUCCGGUGUGUUAAAUCUUCAUUAUGAAGUUUUCCUAUUCAGAAUUUUGUUUGACAUCUUUUGAAUGAGAAAUUUUGAAGCCGUUCGUUGAUUGUGAUGUCAGAAGAGGAUUUUGCAUUAUGUGCUUUUGUGGUUUCUAAAAAGGAAUCCAGGUUUGCGAUUAGACCUGCAUAAUGCCUUCUGGAUCAAAAGCGUUCAACAUCAAUAUUUUCGUCUCCUCCAGUUGAAUAUUCUAUGUACUAUGGAUGCUACAGUUAAAUAAUUGCGGAAGCAAGGGUUUUAGGCUUUUAGCUAUCAAAACACUCAAUUGGAUAGGACUUAGCUGGCAGCAUCUUUGAAGCAUGGAAAAGCUUUAUGGGUCAAUCAAACGCAUAUGGUACAAAUCGAUGCUCCACUGAAUGACGGAAAGCAAGGCUUCUAAUGAUGGUUCUACUUCUCCACCACAAUGGAACUGCAAAAAUAGGGUCAAACUUCCAAUGAAUUCAGGUUGUUCUCAACUCUGAUUGUGCUAUGUACAAUACAAGUGCUUAUCUCAAGCUGUCUAAUUAUUUCUCAACGAUCUGUUUCUUUGUUGAGGGAAGUAGUCGAAGAAGAUUUCACAGCCUUCGUUGGGAAAAAAACCUCCUUGAAGACCAAAGAAGAGACCAAGAACUGUUCAGAAGCAAAUGAAUGGGAAGUAACAAAGGCUCUUAUGACGCCCCUGAGGCUGCGGAAACAAGAUUAAAGGUGUGAUUCCUUGCCUCCUUGAUUUCUUCAAAAUUUUUUUUGGUUUCUUCAGUUUGUCCACGAAAUUCUUUGCGUUCUACCUUUGAAUCUUUUCAGUUGUAAAAAGGAAGAAUAAUAUAGCAAUGUACCCAUUUUGGUAAAUGAAAAUGUAAUCUCCCAUGCCAAUGUCAUCUCCAAGUACUUUGAAUCUUCUCUUUGUUUUUUGUAAAAGAGACGAGUGGUAUUUUUAUUACCAGAGCUAAUUGUAAU
Brassica oleracea var. oleracea is the source of this 1208-nucleotide long non-coding RNA. RefSeq lists it as uncharacterized. Lineage: Eukaryota; Viridiplantae; Streptophyta; Magnoliopsida; Brassicales; Brassicaceae. The transcript is spliced from 5 exons. The record is from RefSeq and is a predicted model, not a curated record.